AACGUAGGAGACAAACGUUAUCCGGAAUUAUUGGGCGUAAAGAGCUCGUAGGCGGCUUGUCACGUCGGGUGUGAAAGCCCGGGGCUUAACCCCGGGUCUGCAUUCGAUACGGGCUAGCUAGAGUGUGGUAGGGGAGAUCGGAAUUCCUGGUGUAGCGGUGAAAUGCGCAGAUAUCAGGAGGAACACCGGUGGCGAAGGCGGAUCUCUGGGCCAUUACUGACGCUGAGGAGCGAAAGCGUGGGGAGCGAACAGG
This 253-nucleotide ribosomal RNA is filed under the name uncultured bacterium. Its description in RNAcentral is "partial 16S ribosomal RNA". It matches the Rfam family "Bacterial small subunit ribosomal RNA", at positions 524 to 776 of the family's 1533-position model. The record is from RNAcentral.